GGGCAGGUGGCAGAGCGGUCGAUUGCAGCGGUCUUGAAAACCGCCGGGCCCGAGAGGGCUCCGUGGGUUCGAACCCCACCCUGCCCGCCA
RNAcentral lists this transfer RNA (90 nucleotides) under Defluviimonas salinarum. RNAcentral's name for it is "tRNA-Ser". It matches the Rfam family "tRNA". Rfam says of the family: Transfer RNA (tRNA) molecules are approximately 80 nucleotides in length. Their secondary structure includes four short double-helical elements and three loops (D, anti-codon, and T loops). Further hydrogen bonds mediate the characteristic L-shaped molecular structure. tRNAs have two regions of fundamental functional importance: the anti-codon, which is responsible for specific mRNA codon recognition, and the 3' end, to which the tRNAs corresponding amino acid is attached (by aminoacyl-tRNA synthetases). tRNAs cope with the degeneracy of the genetic code in two manners: having more than one tRNA (with a specific anti-codon) for a particular amino acid; and 'wobble' base-pairing, i.e. permitting non-standard base-pairing at the 3rd anti-codon position. Lineage: Bacteria; Pseudomonadati; Pseudomonadota; Alphaproteobacteria; Rhodobacterales; Paracoccaceae. The record is from RNAcentral.